GGUACAUAUCGAUCAAUUUGAACUGCUAUUAAUAGGUUUACAUUCAAAAAUAGCAAUUACAAGUAAAUGUGUGUAAUAGCACCACAAACGUAACAUUUUAAAUGAUUCGAGGGUUCCUAAGGUCAAUGCGAAAUAGUUACCAUCAUGAUCACAGACUGUUUGCACGUUUAUGAUGUGAAAUUAUUUCCUAUUAACAUAGGCGUUUUCGUCUGAGGUAGGUGUAAUAAUUCAGACAUGGGUUCCAUCGAACAGCCGAUGACACUGGGAACGCCGGUUUGCUGGUAAAAACCGGUUCUUAUUAACACCAUUACCAUGUUUGUUGUUGGUCAUGUAAUGAAGCGUCCUGCCCGAAUGUCCGACUGACAAUUGCGUCAGUAACUUCUUUCACAGCGUUAACCCCCUUCCCCACAAUCACGCACUUUAACGAAUAUACCGUUGCUCCACAAUCAUGCACUUUAACGCACUUUCAACGUGCAUUUAUUUUACUGUGUUACUUUUUGUUAAUGUAGCGAAAAGUUAAUUUUUUAAUCCAAUACAUGGGAAAAUUCAUUCCAUAGUAUAUAUAACGUCGUAAUUGAUCAUAAACGUAAACACAUAUGUCAUUUCACUUAACAUCUUGGGGUGUGCGACAAAAAGUGACAAUAUGAGCGAUUCACCGGAUUUAUUCGAUACAUGUAGUUCCGACAGUAGCGAAAACACAGAUUCGGAAGAUAUAUCCAUUGCGGACUCGGACAUUUUCGAUUUAGAAGAUGAACUAGUUCAACCAUUACAGCCUUUAGAACUUGAAUGGUCCUCUGAAUUAGAAGCUACAGAGACACCGCCAUUUUUGUGUGAAGUUGGACCCUCGCAUAAUCUGCGACGGUCAGACAAUGAGAAGAGCUUCUUUGAUUUGAUUUUUGAUGAAAGAUGCAUUGAGGUAUUGACCGAGGGAACAAAUAAAUAUUCCAAAGAGACACAAGAGUUGAUAGGUAGAGUAUUAUUAAUAUAUUUGUAGUUUAUUUACAUAAGGGAAUACCGGGUAAUCUUUGUUAAAUGUAAACAAAAUAAAUUUUCAAAAGUAUCAUUAAAAUCGCUUAUUGUAGGCCCACAAUAAUAAAACUUGCAGUGAUUUUGAUUUGAUUCGUCUAAUCCUAAUUUCAACAGAUGCGUUGCAUUUAGAUUCACACAGGCCUACUUUUUUAAAUUCUUAUUUCUAAUCAUUGAAAGCUUGCAGGAAAUUUAGAUUGAUUAGAUAUUUCGCAUAAGUUACGUACUUUUUAUAUUCACCCCUUUCGCCUACGCAAAUGCUGAACAUCUUACAUAGGAAAUUGACUUUGAGGUUAUUGGGCGAAAAUAAGAACUUUGUAAUACUAUACAGUAAUCAUUUUCAUUUUGACAUUUGUGAAUUCAUUUUAUUUUGGAACAACAUCACAUUGUUGUGUUUUUUUUUUACACGAUUCACGAGAAAUUAUAGCUAAAGGAGCUAGCUGUCAAAGUUGGUGGGUUAUUGUUAAAUAAAAAACUUUUGGGGUUUUUGUUCGGUGGUUAACUUGGUGGAUAUAUAAAUACAAUAUGGUUCGAACAACCACCCUGUCAUUUUAAAUUUUUACCAUUUUUAUACUUACACUGACAAAUCAACUGCUGAAUGAUGUCACAACUCUGUAAAACAGUAAAAAUCCCUAUGUGUGUUAUAUCUAUAUAGACACCAAACGGGAAUGUAGCAAUACUUAUUGGACAGAGUCGGAUAACUUUUGAGCUAAACGCGGGGCCAUUUGUAUAAAUCAAUAUGACAUGUAUAUUAUUUGGAAUACUUCUAUCCACAUCAUAAAAUAAUGUCACGUUACCCGGAUAGUUUUGGAUUUUACAAAAUCUGAUAAAAUAAAAUUUCCAAUUGCUAUCAGGUCAUGAUCCAGCCUGGUAUGAUUGUACAACAGAUAAAAUGAGAACGUACCUGGGCCUGUUCAUCAUCAUGGGUAUUAACAAGUUACCAGACUACAAACUCCACUGGAGCAAAAAUACGUUUUCGCAAACCCUGGGUUUAUUCAUGUAAUGCCAGUCCGAAGAUACGAGAAGAUAACUCAAUACCUCCAUUGUAGUUCCGCGGACACUGAUGACCCGCUCUGUAAAAUUCGCCUCAUCUUGGAAAAUAUCUCAAAACGUUACAAACCCCGACAAUACCAGACUAAACAGUAUAUUCCAUCCAAACCAACACGUUGGAGGCUGACAGUUUGGUUACGAUGUGAUGGUGUUACUGCCUUUUGUCAUCAAGUGGACCUGUAUCUCGACAGAGAUCAAUACAGAUGGAUCCGGAAAUCUGUUGGUCAUGCGGUAGUGAAAAAAUUGACCAAAGGAUUGGAAGGAAGGAAUUUCCAUUUAUUUUAUGACAAUUUUUCCACAUCUAUAUCCCUUGCGAGGUCACUACUUGAAAAGAGGAUAUUUUCAUGUGGAACAAUCAUAAGAACAGGAAGGGAUUUCCAUCAGAUUUGAAGAUCCUACCUCGCAUGUCUCAAGGAGAAUAUGCCAUACGGCAGGAUGGUCAGCUGACUGCCACAUUAUGGAUGGACAGUCGACCUCUUGCAGUAUUGUCGACUGUUUCAUCUCCAGUGGAAAUGAGUACGAAUGAAAAUCGGCGCCUUAAGGAUUGGGUUGUAGUUUUCAUUCCCUGACCACAGAGUGUUGGUCAAUACCAAUCAUUUUUCCGAGGCGUUGACAUUUUUGACCAGUUACGAUCGAAAUAUUCAGUUGGUCGGCCCAUCAAAAAAUGGUAGAAAUAUGUCAUGUACUUCCUGAUCAACACAGCAAUCAUUAACAUAUUUCUCAUCAUGAAGGACAGUGCAGAUCUGCCCAAGAAGAGGUACAGACAGCUUGACUUCCGCCUAUCACUUGCACAACUCCUAAUCGGAGUAUUCAGGACACCACAAAAGACAGCUACCAGGCGACCACAAACCUUAAAUUCUACAACCCAUAAGUUCGGUAGACUGUCAAUCAAACGGUCUUAUUGCAAAUCCUGCUCUAAAGCUGUUCCGGAAAAGAGGAAGGACACAGCAUACGGAUGCCAGUUGUGUGAUGUACAUUUAUGUGGAAAACAAUGCUUUGUUUUAUUUCACAAUUUCUUGAGCACUGAAGAGUGAUUAUCGAAAAUUUACAACAUAGUAAAAUCUUAUUUACACGACGUGUUGCAGAAAUAUUCCAAUUAGUCUGAAUAAAUGAAAACGUUAAAACUUGUGUAAAACUAAAUCGAUUACGUUUCCGUUGUCAUGUUUGUUUGAAAUGAAGAUUAAAU
Long non-coding RNA from Ostrea edulis (European flat oyster), 3262 nucleotides. RefSeq lists it as uncharacterized. The record is from RefSeq and is a predicted model, not a curated record. Lineage: Eukaryota; Metazoa; Mollusca; Bivalvia; Ostreida; Ostreidae. The transcript is spliced from 3 exons.